This 429-nucleotide ribosomal RNA is filed under the name uncultured prokaryote. RNAcentral describes it as "bacterial SSU rRNA". It matches the Rfam family "Bacterial small subunit ribosomal RNA", at positions 355 to 776 of the family's 1533-position model. The record is from RNAcentral. RNAcentral also lists the same sequence under 1 other name.
UGGGGAAUUUUGGACAAUGGGCGCAAGCCUGAUCCAGCCAUGCCGCGUGAGUGAAGAAGGCCUUCGGGUUGUAAAGCUCUUUCGGUGGGGAAGAAAUUGCUUCGGCUAAUAUCCGGAGUAGAUGACGGUACCCGCAUAAGAAGCACCGGCUAACUACGUGCCAGCAGCCGCGGUAAUACGUAGGGUGCGAGCGUUAAUCGGAAUUACUGGGCGUAAAGCGUGCGCAGGCGGUUGUGUAAGUCAGAUGUGAAAUCCCCGGGCUUAACCUGGGAACUGCAUUUGAGACUGCACGGCUAGAGUGUGGCAGAGGGGGGUGGAAUUCCACGUGUAGCAGUGAAAUGCGUAGAGAUGUGGAGGAACACCGAUGGCGAAGGCAGCCCCCUGGGCCAAUACUGACGCUCAUGCACGAAAGCGUGGGGAGCAAACAGG